ACUUUGAAAUAAUGUUUCUAGAUUAUGUAAAUAAUAUAUGGUUCACUUCUUGGCCUUUUGGCUAAGAUCAAGUGUAGUAAAUAAUACAUGGUGAUGGGAAG
This 101-nucleotide microRNA precursor is filed under the name Chlorocebus sabaeus (green monkey). Its description in RNAcentral is "miRNA (ENSCSAG00000023520.1)". Lineage: Eukaryota; Metazoa; Chordata; Mammalia; Primates; Cercopithecidae. The record is from RNAcentral.